AUUGAACGCUGGCGGCAUGCCUUACACAUGCAAGUCGAACGGCAGCACGGGUGCUUGCCCCUGGUGGCGAGUGGCGAACGGGUGAGUAAUACAUCGGAACAUGUCCUGUAGUGGGGGAUAGCCCGGCGAAAGCCGGAUUAAUACCGCAUACGAUCUACGGAUGAAAGCGGGGGACCUUCGGGCCUCGCGCUAUAGGGUUGGCCGAUGGCUGAUUAGCUAGUUGGUGGGGUAAAGGCCUACCAAGGCGACGAUCAGUAGCUGGUCUGAGAGGACGACCAGCCACACUGGGACUGAGACACGGCCCAGACUCCUACGGGAGGCAGCAGUGGGGAAUUUUGGACAAUGGGCGAAAGCCUGAUCCAGCAAUGCCGCGAGUGUGAAGAAGGCCUUCGGGUUGUAAAGCACUUUUGUCCGGAAAGAAAUCCUUGGCCCUAAUACGGUCGGGGGAUGACGGUACCGGAAGAAUAAGCACCGGCUAACUACGUG
RNAcentral lists this ribosomal RNA (486 nucleotides) under uncultured bacterium. RNAcentral's name for it is "partial 16S ribosomal RNA". It matches the Rfam family "Bacterial small subunit ribosomal RNA", at positions 30 to 507 of the family's 1533-position model. The record is from RNAcentral.